GAAGCCCUUCGGGGUGGAUUAGUGGCGAACGGGUGAGUAACACGUGGGCAAUCUGCCCUGCACUCUGGGACAAGCCCUGGAAACGGGGUCUAAUACCGGAUAUCACUCUUGCAGGCAUCUGUGAGGGUCGAAAGCUCCGGCGGUGCAGGAUGAGCCCGCGGCCUAUCAGCUUGUUGGUGAGGUAGUGGCUCACCAAGGCGACGACGGGUAGCCGGCCUGAGAGGGCGACCGGCCACACUGGGACUGAGACACGGCCCAGACUCCUACGGGAGGCAGCAGUGGGGAAUAUUGCACAAUGGGCGAAAGCCUGAUGCAGCGACGCCGCGUGAGGGAUGACGGCCUUCGGGUUGUAAACCUCUUUCAGCAGGGAAGAAGCGAAAGUGACGGUACCUGCAGAAGAAGCGCCGGCUAACUACGUGCCAGCAGCCGCGGUAAUACGUAGGGCGCAAGCGUUGUCCGGAAUUAUUGGGCGUAAAGAGCUCGUAGGCGGCUUGUCACGUCGGGUGUGAAAGCCCGGGGCUUAACCCCGGGUCUGCAUUCGAUACGGGCUAGCUAGAGUGUGGUAGGGGAGAUCGGAAUUCCUGGUGUAGCGGUGAAAUGCGCAGAUAUCAGGAGGAACACCGGUGGCGAAGGCGGAUCUCUGGGCCAUUACUGACGCUGAGGAGCGAAAGCGUGGGGAGCGAACAGGAUUAGAUACCCUGGUAGUCCACGCCGUAAACGGUGGGAACUAGGUGUUGGCGACAUUCCACGU
RNAcentral lists this ribosomal RNA (751 nucleotides) under Streptomyces mirabilis. RNAcentral's name for it is "bacterial SSU rRNA". It matches the Rfam family "Bacterial small subunit ribosomal RNA", at positions 72 to 837 of the family's 1533-position model. Lineage: Bacteria; Bacillati; Actinomycetota; Actinomycetes; Kitasatosporales; Streptomycetaceae. The record is from RNAcentral.